RNAcentral lists this ribosomal RNA (253 nucleotides) under uncultured bacterium. RNAcentral's name for it is "partial 16S ribosomal RNA". It matches the Rfam family "Bacterial small subunit ribosomal RNA", at positions 524 to 776 of the family's 1533-position model. The record is from RNAcentral.
UACAGAGGAUGCAAGCGUUAAUCGGAAUUACUGGGCGUAAAGCGCACGUAGGCGGUUUUUUAAGUCAGAUGUGAAAGCCCCGGGCUCAACCUGGGAAUUGCAUUUGAAACUGGGAAACUAGAGUGUGUGAGAGGGGGGUAGAAUUCCAAGUGUAGCGGUGAAAUGCGUAGAGAUUUGGAGGAAUACCAGUGGCGAAGGCGGCCCCCUGGCACAACACUGACGCUCAGGUGCGAAAGCGUGGGGAGCAAACAGG